GAUAUAGUCUUCAAUGGACAUGUAAGUGAUGAUAAUCAUUUUCGUGAAUGUUUUAUUUUUAUGGCAUUGGAAGAAAAAUUCCAUUUAUUAUUGUUGGUUUGAAUCAUCUCCAACAUACAACAAGAAAUUAGUAGUGAUUGAAUUCUUAAAGCCAAGAGAUGAUAUGCAUAUUUGAGUAAUUUGAGUCAUUUGAAAUGCUAUGCUAUGAGAAACAAAGAAUCAUUUUAUAUUGAAGAAAGUUGGAAUUUUUCCAUUUCCGUUUUGGUAUCUUGAAUCCUUGAUGCACCUAAAUAACUUUAGGUCAAUUUGCAAUAUUGAUUCCAUGCAUAUGCAUGUCAACAUAUUAGUUUGAUGGAAUGAAGAUCAUGUACUUCACCUGAACAUGUUUGCUAUCAACUGCAUUAAUAACCCUCUGUUAAUAAUCAACCCAGGUUCAUGCAUAUGAGAGGUCGAAU
Molecule: unclassified non-coding RNA, 455 nt
Filed under: Hevea brasiliensis (rubber tree)
Lineage: Eukaryota; Viridiplantae; Streptophyta; Magnoliopsida; Malpighiales; Euphorbiaceae
Source: RNAcentral